RNAcentral lists this ribosomal RNA (539 nucleotides) under uncultured archaeon. RNAcentral's name for it is "bacterial SSU rRNA". It matches the Rfam family "Archaeal small subunit ribosomal RNA", at positions 460 to 997 of the family's 1478-position model. The record is from RNAcentral.
AGCAGCCGCGGUAACACCGGCGGCCCGAGUGGUGAUCGUGAUUAUUGGGUCUAAAGGGUCCGUAGCCGGUUUGGUCAGUCCUCCGGGAAAUCUGAUAGCUCAACUAUUAGGCUUUCGGGGGAUACUGCCAGACUUGGAACCGGGAGAGGUAAGAGGUACUACAGGGGUAGGAGUGAAAUCUUGUAAUCCCUGUGGGACCACCUGUGGCGAAGGCGUCUUACCAGAACGGGUUCGACGGUGAGGGACGAAAGCUGGGGGCACGAACCGGAUUAGAUACCCGGGUAGUCCCAGCCGUAAACGAUGCUCGCUAGGUGUCAGGCAUGGCGCGACCGUGUCUGGUGCCGCAGGGAAGCCGUGAAGCGAGCCACCUGGGAAGUACGGCCGCAAGGCUGAAACUUAAAGGAAUUGGCGGGGGAGCACAACAACGGGUGGAAGCCUGCGGUUUAAUUGGACUCAACGCCGGACAACUCACCGGGGGCGACAGCAAUAUGUAGGCCAAGCUGAAGACUUUGCCUGAAUCGCUGAGAAGAGGUGCAUGG